RNAcentral lists this ribosomal RNA (847 nucleotides) under uncultured bacterium. RNAcentral's name for it is "bacterial SSU rRNA". It matches the Rfam family "Bacterial small subunit ribosomal RNA", at positions 62 to 891 of the family's 1533-position model. The record is from RNAcentral.
UCGAACGCCAGCGAAAGGUGCUUGCACCUUUCAAGUGAGUGGCGAACGGCCGAGUAACACGUGGACAACCUGCCUCAAGGCUGGGGAUAACAUUUGGAAACAGAUGCUAAUACCGAAUAAAACUUAGUGUCGCAUGACACAAAGUUAAAAGGCGCUUCGGCGUCACCUAGAGAUGGAUCCGCGGUGCAUUAGUUAGUUGGUGGGGUAAAGGCCUACCAAGACAAUGAUGCAUAGCCGAGUUGAGAGACUGAUCGGCCACAUUGGGACUGAGACACGGCCCAAACUCCUACGGGAGGCUGCAGUAGGGAAUCUUCCACAAUGGGCGAAAGCCUGAUGGAGCAACGCCGCGUGUGUGAUGAAGGCUUUCGGGUCGUAAAGCACUGUUGUAUGGGAAGAACAGCUAGAAUAGGAAAUGAUUUUAGUUUGACGGUACCAUACCAGAAAGGGACGGCUAAAUACGUGCCAGCAGCCGCGGUAAUACGUAUGUCCCGAGCGUUAUCCGGAUUUAUUGGGCGUAAAGCGAGCGCAGACGGUUUAUUAAGUCUGAUGUGAAAGCCCGGAGCUCAACUCCGGAAUGGCAUUGGAAACUGGUUAACUUGAGUGCAGUAGAGGUAAGUGGAACUCCAUGUGUAGCGGUGGAAUGCGUAGAUAUAUGGAAGAACACCAGUGGCGAAGGCGGCUUACUGGACUGCAACUGACGUUGAGGCUCGAAAGUGUGGGUAGCAAACAGGAUUAGAUACCCUGGUAGUCCACACCGUAAACGAUGCACACUAGGUGUUAGGAGGUUUCCGCCUCUUAGUGCCGAAGCUAACGCAUUAAGUGUUCCGCCUGGGGAGUACGACCGCAA